This 1895-nucleotide long non-coding RNA is filed under the name Marmota monax (woodchuck). Lineage: Eukaryota; Metazoa; Chordata; Mammalia; Rodentia; Sciuridae. The record is from RNAcentral.
GGCCCUCCAGUCUGAGACCUGCCCUGUGCUCUGCAGGGUGCCUGGAGACAUUGAUGAGGUAAACGCCCUGAAGCUCCAGGUGGAUCAGUGGAAGGUGCCCACAGGCCUGGAGGACCCCCAUGUCCCAGGUAAGUCCCUGGACCACUCAACACCAGAGCAUGCACUGCCUAGAGGGUCGAUGGCCAUUCACUCCUCCUGUCACCCCCAGCUUCUUUCCCUGCUGUAUCUCAUGACCUUCCUUCCGCAGCUCUGGGGCCGGCCCAUCACUAGUCGGAUAUAUCCCGCACUGGGGGCGGGGGGGGGGGGGGGGGGGGGGGAGGCUGGACUGUGCCGCUCCUCCAUCCACAGAUACUGAGUCAGAUUGGCAGGACCCUAGGUUUUAUUCAAAGCCAGCUUUGAAGGAAGAUCUAAGAAACUUUUGUUUCAAAUUUCCAUCUUGGGAAAAUUGAACGGCCAGGAUACCUUUUAUAAGGGGAUAGAUACAGGGAGAUUGAUUUAGCCUGUGAUGCAGCAGCGCCAGUGGCCGCAGACCUGGGCGGGGAACCUUUUCCAGAAAGCCCUUUCCCUACGCUCCCUGAUGCGGUCCGAGCGGGCUGCCAGGCCCAUGCGUUCCCAGAGCAGGCCCACCUGAACCGCCCUCGCCCACAGCGUCGCUGCUGAAGCUGUGGUACCGGGAACUGGAGGAGCCCCUGAUCCCGCACGAGUUCUACGAGCAGUGCAUCGCUCACUAUGAGAGUCCCGAGGCCGCCGUGGCCGUGGUGCACGCGCUGCCUCGCAUCAAUCGCAUGGUGCUGUGCUACCUCAUCCGCUUCCUUCAGGUACCCGCGCCUUGCCCCGCCCGCGUCCCCGCGUCCCCGCGCCCCCUGCCUGCUCCCCGGCCCUGUGCUCCACCCACCGCGCCCCGCGCCCCCGGCCUCUGGUCCGCCCGCCACGCCCUCCGCUCCUCCCCUCCGCAGGUGUUCGUGCAGCCUGCCAACGUGGCCAUCACCAAGAUGGACGUCAGCAACCUGGCCAUGGUGAUGGCGCCCAACUGCCUGCGCUGCCAGUCGGAUGACCCGCGCGUCAUCUUCGAGAACACACGCAAGGAGAUGUCCUUCCUGCGCGUACUCAUCCAGCACCUGGACACCAGCUUUAUGGAGGGCGUGCUAUAGCACGCGGGCACCACGGACGGCGGGCUGCGCGGCGCACGCGGGAGCGGGGGCCCCGCCGGGGCAGCAUGCCAGGCCCCGCCGGCCCCGAGAAGUGCCUUCUGUUCCCCGGAGCCGAGCGACACUGCCCUCCCGGCUGGCCGCGGCCCACGCCGCGCGGCCUCUCCGCUCCAGAGCCCCGGCUGCCCGCCGCCAGGCCGCGGUUCUCCUGCGCGGGGAGGGCCCCGAACCAAAGUCCUCGCGGCGGGCAGGGCCGGGCAGGCACUCUUGGGGCGGGGGGAGAGUAUUUUUUUCGUGGUGUACCUACGAGUCCAGAUUCCAUCCCGCACCCCGCCCUCUUGUGCAUAGAGAUAUAAAUAGAGCGACAGACGUCGGGACUAAAUUUGCUAAGGACAUAGUUCUAACCAGAUGCUAUUUAUCUCUGAGCCGUCCUCACCGCCCUCGUGCAGAGCACUCGCACCCUCCUUCCUUACCCGCAGCUCCCGACCCAACCCCGCGCCGCGCGGCGGCUGGGCCGGACUCGCCUGCGUUCCCGUUAUGGAAUCAGUUCCAACUGUUGUCAAACUUAAUUUCUCCCGGUUUUUAUAUAUAUAUUUUUUAGAGUUGAGUUUUUAUUUAUUAUUAAAACAAAACAGCCAGCCCUGCCGAGCCGGCCCCUGAGCGGGCCACAGACGUGCUCUGACACGUGGACCGAGGGACCGCUUUUCGUGUGAAUAAAGUUCGUGUGGACACUCGCGCGCCGCUUCG